GAUGAAGAACGCAGCGAAAUGCGAUAAGUAGUGUGAAUUGCAGAAUUCAGUGAAUCAUCGAAUCUUUGAACGCACAUUGCGCCCCUUGGUAUUCCAUGGGGCAUGCCUGUUCGAGCGUCAUUUGUACCUUCAAGCUUUGCUUGGUGUUGGGUGUUUGUCCAUUCUCUUGCAGAGGGACUCGCCUUAAAGUAAUUGGCAGCCAGUGUUUUGGUUUUGAAGCGCAGCACAAGUCGCGAUUCAACACUAUACGCCAGCUUCCACAAGCCUUUUUCACUUUUGACCUCGGAUCAGGUAGGGAUACCCGCUGAACUUAAGCAUAUCAACAAGCGGAGGA
Molecule: unclassified non-coding RNA, 334 nt
Filed under: soil metagenome
Description: partial contains 5.8S ribosomal RNA, internal transcribed spacer 2, and large subunit ribosomal RNA
Rfam family: 5.8S ribosomal RNA (bases 1-120)
Source: RNAcentral